Platichthys flesus (European flounder) is the source of this 694-nucleotide long non-coding RNA. RefSeq lists it as uncharacterized. The transcript has 3 exons. The record is from RefSeq and is a predicted model, not a curated record. NCBI's taxonomy places the organism in Eukaryota, Metazoa, Chordata, Actinopteri, Pleuronectiformes, Pleuronectidae.
UGAUAGCAAGCUACCGGUUUGAGGGUCUAGUGUUUUGCUCAAGGACACAUCACCAUGUGGACACUGGGAUCGAACCGCCGACCUGUGACAAAUGGACAAACCGCUCUGCCGUGUCAUCGCCUCCCAAAGUCAGGAGUGCUGCAUCUUCCCUCUAAUCCGGUUUAUCAUUAAAAGUUAGGUUGCUUCACGUUCAGUGGUUCAUUACAAGUUCCCUAAAUUAGACUUGAUGGGAACACGAGAUUACCAGUAAUAUCUGAUGGAUCGGUUCUGCUGUAUUUAUUUAUUCAGUUGCUGUGCGAGCGUGGGAUCCAACAGCAAACACGUUUAUUCUACUGUGAAAUGGGCGGGGAAGGCAAUCAAUCCUGCAUUGAUCAGACCUUCAGUGAGCCCAGACCAGGCCCUGGUUCCGGAGGGGGGAGCACUUUUCUGCUGUUGUUGGGGCCGAACCUGCAGUAAAUGUUUUGUAAAGGCCCUCGGGUGUCGGGGGGACUGACACCGGGGGUUCACAGAGAAUCAGUCUGCAUCCAGGAACUGGUCCCAGAAAAACGGAUUGUCUGGCGGAGCUAUUCCUUCAACAAAACUGUCACAACCGAGACAGAACUGUGCUGGUGAAGUGCUCCUGCUGCGUCUGCAAGUUAGCUCCUGUUUAAAGAGUCCUCACCUGAGUGGCAACUUGUGUCAAGGUCGAACUACA